UAGUCACAAGUGCAAUGCUGGUGCACGACCUAGGGCUGUUGAGGGCGACGUCUUUCAUCAACACUCUGGUCACAGUCAGACAAGCAGGUAACCUUACCAUCCAACCAUAGACACAAAAGCAGCCCAUGAACAUAGAUAAAAUGAGCCUGAAGAUAUUUUAUGAUCCUGAGGCAAUGCAGCAUAUGCGGCACCAAGCUGCUUAACUGCUCCUUUUGUUUCCCCAGUCUGGAUGGUGCAUCCCAAAUGCUGUCUGGGAAAGAACUCUUGCCUGUCCUUGUUCUGAGCAAUGCCAGAUAUUGUCUAGAGGCAUGCCAAAACUGUGCUAGGAUUUGUGCUAACAGUUUAAGAGCAUGGAUACUCAUGGGAGCUGGAGUCUGGCCCUACUACAGCAUUGCCGAGAUACUGCUUUUCAUCUGGGAGAUGAGGACUAAAGCCCUGAGGAUCUACUUCAUCAGACUCCCAUCAGCCGUAACUGAAGAUACCUGUACUUUGAGUGAGUUGAGAAUAAAGAUGCACAUUAGCCUAAACUGCUUUCAGUGCUGGGCUUACCCUGUCUCUCUAUAUAAUUUGUGACCCCUCAGUGAUAACUUUCUGCUUUUUUUUUUUUUUUUUUUUUUGGUCCUCUAUAUGCUUGUCUUCAGUGUACAAUAACUACAUGAAUUUCAGACAUAGCCUAGCUUUCUAUCAACCUAAAUUGUCCUACAUGAGAUUCUGGGUGUUUCUAGUCCCAUGUACAGUUUCAGAUGUGGAUGUAUGCAAGUGUGUAGGAUGGCACUGAUUUGUGGCUGCUGAUUCUCCUGUACAUAAUAAACAACUGAGAUAGUAUUGACAUAGGAAAGAGAGUUUAUGUCUGCAAAUGAGUUUCUAUGAUGCUCCUUGUGAUCUCUCAUGGAGGAAGAUAUGAGACCAUUAACAUUAUAAAUCUUGACCUCAUCCAGAAUGCAGGCUAGAGAUCCAGGCUACUUCCAUAUCUGCUCCAUAAGUAAGUAUGUACAGACAUGGGAAUAAAACAACAUUAGAUAUAAUAGGUUUUUUUUUUUUUUUUUUUUUUUUAAUUUUGGAGAGAGGGGGUUAAUCUAGGCUAGAGGGUGAUGUCCAGAAACAGCUAGGGAAUGAGCACAAGUACUAGGCAUCAGAGCAGUAGCUGUUAAUUUGCUUUCUGGUUUUCCUCCAGCUACCUCUCCUAGACUAUCUAAACAUGGUUGAGGUGACAAUAUACUAUAGAGACUUUCCAAAGUUUCCAAAGUUCAGUAUCAGCAAAGCUGCAGUAAAUCUGUUUUCCCAUACAGUUCUCCACCUGUAUCCUAAAAGCCUGUCACAAUCAAACACUCUUGCAGGCCAUGCAAAACAAUAACCGUGGCACUUCCAUCUCAGAUACUUUGAAAGGAGAGAAGAGGAAGAAUGAUAAAUCUCUCUUAAGAAGUCACAGACCAGCACUCUAGCUCCAUAUAGCUUUAUAAUCCCAGCAGAGCUAUGAGUAACGUGCUAUAGUGCAUUGUGACUGUUGGGCCUUACUACCAGACUUCAUCAACCACAGGAAUCCCCCUAUCAGCCACAGAUGCCUGCUGCUGCUUCCUUAGUCCCUGAUGAGGGACAGCACAGAGAAAACACUGGGAUAGCUCUUGGACUACUGUGGGAAAUAACCUUUCAGCUGUUAAUGGUACAGAAGUUGCUUUGCCACUGAUGAAACCAAUGUCCUUAAACAAGUCACAUUUGCUGUUCAUGACACCUGUGUUAUCCACAGACGUCCUUUCUGGGGAGUAAGACCCUGGGGAGGCUGUAGAAGAAGAGCUGCUGGGAUAAAAUUGUGUUCUUCUCUGCUGAUUUUAAUAUUCCAGAGCCUGUUUGUGCUGGCUAGAUGCCUUUCCAUGUGUUUUGCACUUGAAGGAGAGAGAGGCCUCCAAAAAACCCCUCAAAGCCCACAAGUUGUCAUAAUCUUUUUAAUACUCCUGAACUGUAAUGUUUGCUUCUUUGCCUGUCUGCUUGCUGCCAUAAAAACAACAGCAACAACAACAAAACAACAGCAACAACAAAAUAGGCAUUUGUUAUCAUGACAUUAUUUCCUGUUGAGCUAGAAGCUUGAAGAUAGCCUGACAUGAGGUUAAAUAGCAAUAAAUAAGGUUAUGGAAGGUUAUGCGGUAUUUCAGAGUUGAGGAAAGGCAGUGAUGUUCACAGAUGUUAUUUAUUUUAUAGCAUUUUAUCUAUAUAGUGCGGAGAAUCAAAUAAAGUAGAGCAAAAAGAACUUACUAGUUAAAUAGAAAAUUAUAUCUACCAAACCAUCUGUUUCUAUACUGCUAUAAAUGAGUUGCAGUGAGUCUGGAGGAAUCUGUUCUUUAGUGAGGCAAUGAAGCAAUUCAGGCUUUUACUUUAGAAGAUGAAGAAUUGGGGACAUAUUGCUUCAGUCUUCCUCAAGGUGCUACCAGCCUGCCUUCACCUCAAGGUAAAUUUUCAUUAUUCCCAUUUCAUUUUUGGAGACUUUAUGGAUGAAAUGCUGCAUUGCCCCUCUCUGAAUCACACAUAAUUGCAGCUGAUCAGCAUAAAUAUGCAUGAGUUCAUUCUAUUUCAGUACGGAAUUUUUAGGUUGAAGCCUGCACAUUACGGUUUUUGAUGGAACAAGAAAAAGAGAGAAAGGAUGGAAACAAAAUGGAGGGAGAAGGCUUAAAACUUCCCUUAAAUACUAUCAUAGGAUGUAGAUUUAUUUGAAGGUUCUAUAGACAACAAAGAGAACAUUUAUUUCCACAGUACUUUUUAGACUUUAAAUAUUGCCCUAAGGCAGGAAAGGAAAUUAUUUUUCCUUUUGAUAGUAUUUGAGGUAAAUUUUUAUAUCUUUUCUAAGUGUCUUUAUUUCUUAUUUUACCUUUGUAAGGAUGAUAUUUCCACCUCUCAGGCUCUUCAGGCUUUUUAUUUGUCCACUGUGUGAGAAUGCCCCAGCUUGGAGAGCAUCCAUCGACACUGGAACAAUGGCAUUUUAAAGGAAGCUUUUUUCCCAGUGAAAAGAAUGUAGACACAAGCAGUAGAUUUUGCAGUUUAUCAUAUAAAUCAGAUGAAAGCCUUUCUUCCAGGAACAUGAAAGGCAGAAGAGAGGCUAAAAUAUGUAUAUGUAUGUGUGUGUACUUGUAUGUGAACAUAAACGUUACAUAUGUACAAAUAUAAAUACACACAAUACAUAUAUUGAAGGUCUAUUCCUCCUUUCAUUGGAGUGAGGGAAAUUUUCUCAUGGAUUUCAUUUUGUACAAAAGAGGCACUGUUACAGCAACUUAAAAAAAUACUGAAACCUUGACUGAAGUUCUUAAACAUCUGAUAAGCCUAUUGAAUUCAUGGGGCUUCUUCACAUGCUUAGAGUUUGGCGUGUGUGUAAAUACUUUGCUGCAACAGGGUCACAAGACCUCAGCUCAGCUCUUGUUAAACUCAGUGGAAAGAUUCUUUUUGAUUUUAAGAGCAGUUGGAUGGAUUUGCAGUCCGUCUUCUCUAUGCUAAUGCAGAGCGAGCCAGUCUUAAUGCAGGAACAUGUGGUAUACGUUAAAAGUCGUAGAGGUUGUGAGCAGUAGCAACUUUCCACUGACAACAUUUAUCUGGAUUGAUUAAAAAGAUAUGACUUAAAAUGAGUUCCUCGAUGGGUGGUUCCAGACAGUGCAGUGCAGAGUUGGGCCUGGCGGGAGGGUGCCAGGGAGCCUGGGAGGAUGGCUGAAGGUCAUCAUUUGGAUUUAACGGGGAGGCAGCUGUGCUGUCACACCCCGUGUACACCUGGGAGCGUGGGGGGAGCUCCUGCUGUGUGGAGCUGGCGGCAGCUGGGAAGGAAGAGCAGCAUUCAUCCAUCUUGGAGACUGGGACUUGGCACUCAUUGAGGCCAGAUUUCUGGGGAAGAAAUAACAUGCUGAGAGUUGCUGCAGCAAAUGUAAAACAAUCCUGUUUUGACACGUUGACAUGAAGCUGGCUGAAAAAGUUUUGUUUACACUUGUCUUAAGUUACCUUGAACAAAUUAUUCUGCUCUAAAUUUCUACUGUUCCAGAGCUGAUGGGCGUCAGCAGAAGAAAUGUAACAAAGAGGUGCAUCCCUGAGAGAUAGGAUGCAUGCACCUUUCGUACUGAGAGAGCUGGGUGGGCUGCAGAGAAGUGAGGCUAUACCAUUCCACCUUACAAUUCCAGCUCCUGGAAUGUUACUUCCAGGCAUUUCCUUGGCAAGAAAAACUGGAGGCAAAUGGGCUGGCUCAGUAAAAAAUGAUAAAAAAUGAAGGUAACUGAUAACUUUGUUGGGAGAUAUAAUUACUUAUGGCAUUUUCAGGAAAUGCAUUGCAAGGAGUCCCAGAUGCGUAAUCUAAGGAGAUAAAAGGAGAUAAUCAAGCACUGGAACCGCCUGGAUAUUUUCAUCAAUAUGGGGGAACAAAGCGAGGAAAAAUCAUUUUGUUUUGACCCAUUCUAUUGGCAAUGACAGAAGUAAGAAACAGGGAUAUUUAGUCUGGCUGAUGUGGAGAAUAUCUGUUCCAACUGAUUUAAUGCCAUAAGUUAUUAAGUAGGAAUGAAUGGCAAACCCCUCACUGUAUUGCGUUCAAAGUGAGACUUAGAAACAGUGAAAAAUAGAAUGCAGAGGUAGACAAAGAACAAGAAAUGAACCAAAGUAAUCUAAAGAUGGUUGAUAAACAUAUUUCAUUAUGGAAUCAUCUAAGUUUCAGUGAGUUAAUUGAGGUAAAUUUUAGAUAUCUUUCUCUUUACACAGGUUGAAAUUCAGCCUUAGGUGUUUCUUAAUUCUCAGACGUGUAUGGCAUUCAUUCAGGAUACUAAUUUCGCUCAUCCUAUCCAUACAGGACUGCAGUUCUCUUUAGGAAAAAAAAAAAAAAAAAAAGUCUUCUCUUUCUCUGAUCAAUAAGCACUCUUUUCUACUGACUUUUCAUUUAUGAGAAUGUUCUUGGUCUUCUACCCUGCCCUUUCCAUAAUUUCAUCACUCAAGUACUUCAGCUAUUUCUCAGUGUUUUAUGACAGCCUAGCUCAAAAAAUAUAAGUUAGUUUCCUCGACAAUCUUCCUAAACAUUUUGUUUCAAAAGAUACAAUAACAUAUAAUUUGAUUCUUUUUUAGUUUAAGACUGAAAAUGUUCCCUCCAUGCAAGUUUGGGAACAUAGGAAGGUCAAAAGACAAAUGAAUAUUGCUCUCCCUUUCCUCCCAGCAAUCUUGUAAAACAGAAAACCUAACCAAAAUGAGCCCAAAUCAGAAUCACGGAAGACCUGGCACCAAGGGCAUCUGCUCCUUGCCUACAUGCUCACCCCUACCCAACCUCUUCUAUCUGUCAUGAACUGCCAGUACCAAGAAUCAGCAUCCAACUUUUGCCCCCAUUUGGUGCUCCUUCCAGCCUGCUCCUAUUUAUAGCUCAAGAGUCCCUAUUGUUCCAUUUCCUAAUUAUUUCAAGUUUCAGUUAGGUUAACUGAAACAAUAAAAGGUAUCUGGAAGACUAACAAACUCAGAUGGCAAUGUUUGCUUAAUUACUGUGGUAAAAUUAUGGUGUUUAUUUUGUUACUCAACUAGAAAUGAUAGGCUGUUUAAAGUUUAGAAAUUUGGUUGAUAAGUGGGAAGAUAAAAGUAAUAGUAUUGCUUGCUACAGCGGGUAAUCUAAAACUGUGUGGACUGAAGAACAGCUAUGCUACAUAAUUGUGCUGGGUUGGAGGAGUCCAGCACUUUUAUUACCCAGAUGUGAUAAAGCAAUGAGGUCCAGUUUCACUUUGAGAGAGGCAGACUUGGUUUCUCCCAUCCUUUUUCUCCUGGGUGGAUAUGUUACACAUUUACAUAAACGUCUUAUACCAAAACUGCUGCAGGUAAAUAAAUCUCCAUAAGGCACUGUGAAGAUGGCAGCAGAGUUUGUCCACUUCAUGCAAUAGAAGCAAACAAGGGAACACUGGACUUAUCCAAAAUGAGGCAUAGAGACCAGUGCAAAAGGUGGGGUUGGAAACCUUUAGCCUUGGAUCCACAGCCUGUGCACGUUCGGCAAGGGAAGUUUUCUUGUUGGAUGCUGUAUGUAUGCUUAACCUUGUCAAGUGCUUGCUAUUCCUAUCAUACUUUUAGUUACUAGUAUUUAAACAAUUGGUAUUUGAGUUUUGUGAACAUGUGCCCUUUUGACAAUGGCAAAAUGAUGUCUAGCUUCACUGUAUAUAAAUAAGCUUCAUUCUUCUAGUGCAAAGUGCUAGUAAACUGGGUGUGGGGCUGUCUAGCUUUUUGAUAAUGACACCGCUGGCAAAUCUGACUACCCUGAGAAGAAUAACAAGCCCAAUCUCAAAGUUUCUCCUGAUGUUUCUGAAAUCCCCAGGUGGGUUUAUUUAUGUUUAUAAUGUCUAGCUCUCUCAAGGGAAUGCUGAUUAGUGUGCUGCUACUGAGCUAGGGUCAGCAGGUUUAGAGCUAGGCUAUUCAGCAAGGUUCAAGCUCUUGCAGCAUUGCUCUACAAGGCAGAUGGAGGCUCAAUGCUGUGAGCAGAGUUAUCUCUUACUCCCUCCACCUUGCUCUGUAUCCUCACACUUUGGCAAAAUUUCCUGGGGAUAAAUACAGACGAGGAAAAAAAAAAAAGUAUAUUCUGAUCAGUGUUAUUAGGAGUGACAAAAGUGAGAUAAGAAAGUUAUUUAUGCUGAUUGAUGUAGAGCCAACAUACUCUUGGCAAAAAUCCUUCAAGUCUGCCCCUAGGACAGCAGGGAAGCUAUAUGCUGGCUAGUGAACUAAUGAAAGCAAUCAAACCCACCUGUACACGGGAGGAGAUACAACAGAGGGCUUGAGAAGCCACACUAUGAUCUGCUAAGGCACUUCAUUAUGCAUUUGUGUUAAUGGGGCCUUUUCAUUUCCCUGCAGUGCAGCUGACUUCUUUGAGGAAAGGUGAACAGUUAUGCUACACAGGCACUGAACAAGAAAGGAGCUCCAGCUCCUGGAUUAGGAGAAAGGGGAGCGGGGUGGUGGGGAGAUCAGAAAACAGGUAGGGGAAAGGUCCAUUUUCAGAUAAGCAUGUUGAAAGGUUGAAAACAGGGAGAAGUCUGCUUUUCUGCUCGGUUUACUUAUUGAUAGGGACUCAGUUCUUGGCUGGUUCUGCUUCUUGGAUGCAUCUGUUUAGAAUUUGUAGAGCUUUGUACUCUGCUUUUGAAAAUUAUAACAUCAAGUGGAGAAAAUGGUAAACUAUUACAAUGCUUGCAGGAGACAACAUCUGUUACUAGUAUCUUAUAUAAUCUUUUAUCCAAUUCUGUCAUCAGGAGUCCUCAGGAUUGCUUCAGUGUUGUCAACAUGCAUGCACACUCAUGCACAAGAAAAUGCCUAUCUAGUUAUCUAUCUAUCAUUACAGAACAGUUCUCUUCAUGUUACUGACAUUUGGGAGGAAUCAUGACAUGAUUUCUCAUUCUUCUAAUAAUAAAUCUCACUUUACAAGAAGAAAUGUAUGUCAAGGACCUUUCUGGUUCAACACCAUUGAAAUUCCUUAUCUCCUCUGGAACUAAACUUGUUGAGAGAUGUGAAAAAUAACAGGAAGGGAUUCUAGAGAUACACUGUUCAGAAGAGGCAGGCAAAGAAGAGUGUACUCCCUCUGAUAAGUGAGAAGGGAGAACAGGCUACAGAAGGCAUGGCAAAGGCUGAGGUACACAACAAAUUCUUUGCCUUGUCUUCACUGAUUUCCCACGUCUCUCACAUCCUUGAACAUCUAGAUGUAGGCUGGGAGAACAAAAUCCCACCCACUGUAAAAGCAGAGCAAGUCUGUGACUGCCUAAUGAGGCUGAAUGUGUACAAAUCCAUUGGACCAGAUGAUAUGAACCCCAGGAUCCUGAAGGAACUGGCUGAUGUGGUUGCUGAGCCACUCUCCAUCAUAUCUGAAAAAUCACAGCUGUUAGGUGAAGUUCCCAGUGAGUGGAAAAAGGGAAACAUUUGCUUCCCAUUCUCAAGAAAGGGAGAAAGCAAGAUCAGGAAAGUGCAAAUUGGAGAGUCUCACUUUUGUGCCUGGGAGAAUCACGGAGCAGAUCCUCCUGGAAGCUGUUUAAGGCACAUGUGAGAUGAGGAGGUGAUCCAAGACAGCCAGAAUGGCUUCAUCAAGAACAGAUCAUGCCUGACCAAUGAUGGCAUUGGUGGACAAAGGAAGAGCAACUGAUGUAAUCUACCUGGAAUUCUGCAAGGCCUUUGACAUGAUCCCAUGCCACAUCCUCAUCUCUAAAUUGGGUAGAUAUGCAUUUGAAGGGGACACUGUUUGGUGGGUAAAGAAUUGGUUGAAUGGUGGCAGCCAGAGUGUUGUGGUAAGUGACUCUAUGUCCAGGUGGAGGUUGGUCAUAAGAGGUGUCCUGCAGGGUUCCGUAGUGAUAGGACAAGGCGGAAUGUCUUUAAACUAAAAGAGAGGAAAUUUAGAUUCGAUAUUAGGAAUAAACUCUUUACUCAGAGGUGGUAAGGUGCUGGCACAGCUGCCCAGAGAAGCUGUGGAUGCCCCAUGUCUGGAGGUGCACAAGGCCAGAUUGGAUGGGGCCCUGGGCAGCCUGAGCUGGUGGGAGGCAGCCCUGCCCACGGCAGAGAGGUUGGAUCUAUGUGAUUUUUAAGGUCUCUUCCAACUCAGGCUGUUCUAUGAUUCUAUGAUUCCA
Gallus gallus (chicken) is the source of this 8570-nucleotide long non-coding RNA. RefSeq lists it as uncharacterized. Lineage: Eukaryota; Metazoa; Chordata; Aves; Galliformes; Phasianidae. The record is from RefSeq and is a predicted model, not a curated record. The transcript has 3 exons.